RNAcentral lists this ribosomal RNA (497 nucleotides) under uncultured bacterium. Its description in RNAcentral is "partial 16S ribosomal RNA". It matches the Rfam family "Bacterial small subunit ribosomal RNA", at positions 28 to 507 of the family's 1533-position model. The record is from RNAcentral.
GAUGAGCGCUGGCGGUGUGCCUAAUACAUGCAAGUCGAGCGAACGGACGAGAAGCUUGCUUCUCUGAUGUUAGCGGCGGUCGGGUGCGUAUCACGUGGAUAACCUACCUAUAAGACUGGGAUAACUUCGGGACACCGGAGCUAAUACCGGAUAAUAUUUUGAACCGCAUGGUUCAAAAUAGAAAGACGUUUUUGCUGUUACUUAUAGAUGGAUCCGCGCUUCAUUAGCUAGUUGGUAAGGUAACGUCUUACCAAGGCAACGAUGCAUAGCCGAACUGAGAGGGUGAUCGGCCACACGGGAAAUAGAACACGGUCCAGACUCCGAAGGGAGGCAGCAGUAGGGAAUCUUCCGCAAUGGGCGAAAGCCUGACGGAGCAACGCCGCGUGGGUGAUGAAGGUCUUCGGAUCUUAAAACUCUGUUAUUAGGGAAGAACAUAUGUGUAAGUAACUGUGCAAAACUUGACGGUACCUAAUCAGAAAGCCACGGCUAACUACGUG